This 353-nucleotide unclassified non-coding RNA is filed under the name soil metagenome. RNAcentral describes it as "partial contains 5.8S ribosomal RNA, internal transcribed spacer 2, and large subunit ribosomal RNA". The stretch from base 1 to 120 matches the Rfam family "5.8S ribosomal RNA", at positions 35 to 154 of the family's 154-position model. The record is from RNAcentral.
GAUGAAGAACGUAGCGAAAUGCGAUAAGUAAUGUGAAUUGCAGAAUUCAGUGAAUCAUCGAAUCUUUGAACGCACAUUGCGCCCGCCAGUAUUCUGGCGGGCAUGCCUGUUCGAGCGUCAUUACAACCCUCAGGCCCCCGGGCCUGGCGUUGGGGAUCGGCGGAAGCCCCCUGCGGGCACAACGCCGUCCCCCAAAUACAGUGGCGGUCCCGCCGCAGCUUCCAUUGCGUAGUAGCUAACACCUCGCAACUGGAGAGCGGCGCGGCCACGCCGUAAAACACCCAACUUCUGAAUGUUGACCUCGAAUCAGGUAGGAAUACCCGCUGAACUUAAGCACAUCAAUAAGCGGAGGA